Perkinsus marinus ATCC 50983 is the source of this 73-nucleotide non-coding RNA. Lineage: Eukaryota; Perkinsozoa; Perkinsida; Perkinsidae. The record is from Rfam.
GCCUCGGUAGCUCAGUCGGCAGAGCGCGGGCCUUUUAAGCCCGUGGCCGCGGGUUCGAGCCCCGUCCGAUGUG